GCAUCAGUGGUGUAGCGGUAACAUUGGGUCUUCCCAUUUGCUUACGUAAGUGAUAUUGGCCUAGCUCCGGGUUCGACUCCCGGCUGAUGCA
Non-coding RNA from Mycena epipterygia, 91 nucleotides. The record is from the annotation of a GenBank genome assembly. Lineage: Eukaryota; Fungi; Basidiomycota; Agaricomycetes; Agaricales; Mycenaceae.